UCUGUCGAGCUUGCUCACAGGCACAUCAUAUCCAUAACACCUGUGCACUUGUCGGAUGGCUUAGUGAAGACCGCAAGGUUGGAUCUAUCCAUCUACUUUACAUAACAAUUCUGUAACAAAUGUAGUCUUAUUAUAACAUAAUAAAACUUUCAACAACGGAUCUCUUGGCUCUCGCAUCGAUGAAGAACGCAGCGAAAUGCGAUAAGUAAUGUGAAUUGCAGAAUUCAGUGAAUCAUCGAAUCUUUGAACGCACCUUGCGCUCCUUGGUAUUCCGAGGAGCAUGCCUGUUUGAGUGUCAUGAAAACCCUCAACCCUAGAUUGGUUAAAACCUUUCUUUGGUUUGGAUUUGGACGUUUGCCGAUGAUAAGUCGGCUCGUCUUAAAAGUAAUAGCUGGAUCUGUCUCGCGACAUGGUUUGACUUGGCGUAAUAAGUAUUUCGCUAAGGACAUCUUCGGAUGGCCGCGUUGCAGGACUAAAGACCGCUUUCUAAUCCAUUGAUCUUACGAUUAAUAUUCUUGACAUCUGGCCUCAAAUCAGGUAGGACUACCCGCUGAACUUAAGCAUAUCAAUAAGCGGA
Molecule: ribosomal RNA, 577 nt
Filed under: Naganishia albida
Lineage: Eukaryota; Fungi; Basidiomycota; Tremellomycetes; Filobasidiales; Filobasidiaceae
Description: eukaryotic LSU rRNA
Rfam family: 5.8S ribosomal RNA (bases 145-298)
Source: RNAcentral